GCUCAGAACUCAAAGGAAUUGACGGGGCCGCGACAAGCGGAGGAGCAUGUGGUUUAAUUCGAUGAUACGCGAGGAACCUUACCUGGGCUCGAACGUAAGAUGACUGUAGGUGAAAGCUUACAUCUCUUCGGAGCAUUUUACGAGGUGCUGCAUGGUUGUCGUCAGCUCGUGCCGUGAGGUGUCGGGUUAAGUCCCAUAACGAGCGCAACCCCUACCUUUAGUUGCCAUCAGGUAAUGCUGGGGACUCUAAAGGAACUGCCUACGCAAGUAGUGAGGAAGGCGGGGAUGACGUCAAAUCAGCACGGCCCUUACGUCCAGGGCUACACACGUGCUACAAUGGCCGAUACAGAGGGCAGCUACCUGGUGACAGGAUGCAAAUCUCCAAAGUCGGUCUCAGUUCGGAUCGGAGUCUGCAACCCGACUCCGUGAAGUUGGAUUCGCUAGUAAUCGCGCAUCAGCCAUGGCGCGGUGAAUACGUUCCCGGGCCUU
RNAcentral lists this ribosomal RNA (489 nucleotides) under uncultured Sphingobacteriales bacterium. RNAcentral describes it as "bacterial SSU rRNA". It matches the Rfam family "Bacterial small subunit ribosomal RNA", at positions 892 to 1382 of the family's 1533-position model. Lineage: Bacteria; Pseudomonadati; Bacteroidota; Sphingobacteriia; Sphingobacteriales. The record is from RNAcentral.